This 253-nucleotide ribosomal RNA is filed under the name uncultured bacterium. Its description in RNAcentral is "partial 16S ribosomal RNA". It matches the Rfam family "Bacterial small subunit ribosomal RNA", at positions 524 to 776 of the family's 1533-position model. The record is from RNAcentral.
UACGAAGGGGGCUAGCGUUGCUCGGAAUCACUGGGCGUAAAGCGCACGUAGGCGGAUUGCUAAGUCGGGGGUGAAAUCCUGGAGCUCAACUCCAGAACUGCCUUCGAUACUGGCGAUCUUGAGUCUGGGAGAGGUGAGUGGAACUCCGAGUGUAGAGGUGAAAUUCGUAGAUAUUCGCAAGAACACCAGUGGCGAAGGCGGCUUACUGGUCCGGUUCUGACGCUGAGGCGCGAAAGCGUGGGGGAGCAACAGG